UGGGUUGUAGCUCAGUGGUAGAGCGUUUGCCUUACACGCAUGAGGCUCUGGGUUCGAUCCUCAACACCACAU
This 72-nucleotide transfer RNA is filed under the name Ictidomys tridecemlineatus (thirteen-lined ground squirrel). RNAcentral describes it as "Spermophilus tridecemlineatus (thirteen-lined ground squirrel) tRNA". It matches the Rfam family "tRNA". From Rfam's summary of the family: Transfer RNA (tRNA) molecules are approximately 80 nucleotides in length. The record is from Rfam by way of RNAcentral. Lineage: Eukaryota; Metazoa; Chordata; Mammalia; Rodentia; Sciuridae.